GGUUAAGCGACUAAGCGUACACGGUGGAUGCCCUGGCAGUCAGAGGCGAUGAAGGACGUGCUAAUCUGCGAUAAGCGUCGGUAAGGUGAUAUGAACCGUUAUAACCGGCGAUUUCCGAAUGGGGAAACCCAGUGUGUUUCGACACACUAUCAUUAACUGAAUCCAUAGGUUAAUGAGGCGAACCGGGGGAACUGAAACAUCUAAGUACCCCGAGGAAAAGAAAUCAACCGAGAUUCCCCCAGUAGCGGCGAGCGAACGGGGAGCAGCCCAGAGCCUGAAUCAGUGUGUGUGUUAGUGGAAGCGUCUGGAAAGGCGCGCGAUACAGGGUGACAGCCCCGUACACAAAAAUGCACAUGCUGUGAGCUCGAUGAGUAGGGCGGGACACGUGGUAUCCUGUCUGAAUAUGGGGGGACCAUCCUCCAAGGCUAAAUACUCCUGACUGACCGAUAGUGAACCAGUACCGUGAGGGAAAGGCGAAAAGAACCCCGGCGAGGGGAGUGAAAAAGAACCUGAAACCGUGUACGUACAAGCAGUGGGAGCACGCUUAGGCGUGUGACUGCGUACCUUUUGUAUAAUGGGUCAGCGACUUAUAUUCUGUAGCAAGGUUAACCGAAUAGGGGAGCCGAAGGGAAACCGAGUCUUAACUGGGCGUUAAGUUGCAGGGUAUAGACCCGAAACCCGGUGAUCUAGCCAUGGGCAGGUUGAAGGUUGGGUAACACUAACUGGAGGACCGAACCGACUAAUGUUGAAAAAUUAGCGGAUGACUUGUGGCUGGGGGUGAAAGGCCAAUCAAACCGGGAGAUAGCUGGUUCUCCCCGAAAGCUAUUUAGGUAGCGCCUCGUGAAUUCAUCUCCGGGGGUAGAGCACUGUUUCGGCAAGGGGGUCAUCCCGACUUACCAACCCGAUGCAAACUGCGAAUACCGGAGAAUGUUAUCACGGGAGACACACGGCGGGUGCUAACGUCCGUCGUGAAGAGGGAAACAACCCAGACCGCCAGCUAAGGUCCCAAAGUCAUGGUUAAGUGGGAAACGAUGUGGGAAGGCCCAGACAGCCAGGAUGUUGGCUUAGAAGCAGCCAUCAUUUAAAGAAAGCGUAAUAGCUCACUGGUCGAGUCGGCCUGCGCGGAAGAUGUAACGGGGCUAAACCAUGCACCGAAGCUGCGGCAGCGACGCUUAUGCGUUGUUGGGUAGGGGAGCGUUCUGUAAGCCUGCGAAGGUGUGCUGUGAGGCAUGCUGGAGGUAUCAGAAGUGCGAAUGCUGACAUAAGUAACGAUAAAGCGGGUGAAAAGCCCGCUCGCCGGAAGACCAAGGGUUCCUGUCCAACGUUAAUCGGGGCAGGGUGAGUCGACCCCUAAGGCGAGGCCGAAAGGCGUAGUCGAUGGGAAACAGGUUAAUAUUCCUGUACUUGGUGUUACUGCGAAGGGGGGACGGAGAAGGCUAUGUUGGCCGGGCGACGGUUGUCCCGGUUUAAGCGUGUAGGCUGGUUUUCCAGGCAAAUCCGGAAAAUCAAGGCUGAGGCGUGAUGACGAGGUACUACGGUGCUGAAGCAACAAAUGCCCUGCUUCCAGGAAAAGCCUCUAAGCAUCAGGUAACAUCAAAUCGUACCCCAAACCGACACAGGUGGUCAGGUAGAGAAUACCAAGGCGCUUGAGAGAACUCGGGUGAAGGAACUAGGCAAAAUGGUGCCGUAACUUCGGGAGAAGGCACGCUGAUAUGUAGGUGAAGUCCCUCGCGGAUGGAGCUGAAAUCAGUCGAAGAUACCAGCUGGCUGCAACUGUUUAUUAAAAACACAGCACUGUGCAAACACGAAAGUGGACGUAUACGGUGUGACGCCUGCCCGGUGCCGGAAGGUUAAUUGAUGGGGUUAGCGGUAACGCGAAGCUCUUGAUCGAAGCCCCGGUAAACGGCGGCCGUAACUAUAACGGUCCUAAGGUAGCGAAAUUCCUUGUCGGGUAAGUUCCGACCUGCACGAAUGGCGUAAUGAUGGCCAGGCUGUCUCCACCCGAGACUCAGUGAAAUUGAACUCGCUGUGAAGAUGCAGUGUACCCGCGGCAAGACGGAAAGACCCCGUGAACCUUUACUAUAGCUUGACACUGAACAUUGAGCCUUGAUGUGUAGGAUAGGUGGGAGGCUUUGAAGUGUGGACGCCAGUCUGCAUGGAGCCGACCUUGAAAUACCACCCUUUAAUGUUUGAUGUUCUAACGUUGACCCGUAAUCCGGGUUGCGGACAGUGUCUGGUGGGUAGUUUGACUGGGGCGGUCUCCUCCUAAAGAGUAACGGAGGAGCACGAAGGUUGGCUAAUCCUGGUCGGACAUCAGGAGGUUAGUGCAAUGGCAUAAGCCAGCUUGACUGCGAGCGUGACGGCGCGAGCAGGUGCGAAAGCAGGUCAUAGUGAUCCGGUGGUUCUGAAUGGAAGGGCCAUCGCUCAACGGAUAAAAGGUACUCCGGGGAUAACAGGCUGAUACCGCCCAAGAGUUCAUAUCGACGGCGGUGUUUGGCACCUCGAUGUCGGCUCAUCACAUCCUGGGGCUGAAGUAGGUCCCAAGGGUAUGGCUGUUCGCCAUUUAAAGUGGUACGCGAGCUGGGUUUAGAACGUCGUGAGACAGUUCGGUCCCUAUCUGCCGUGGGCGCUGGAGAACUGAGGGGGGCUGCUCCUAGUACGAGAGGACCGGAGUGGACGCAUCACUGGUGUUCGGGUUGUCAUGCCAAUGGCACUGCCCGGUAGCUAAAUGCGGAAGAGAUAAGUGCUGAAAGCAUCUAAGCACGAAACUUGCCCCGAGAUGAGUUCUCCCUGACCCUUUAAGGGUCCUGAAGGAACGUUGAAGACGACGACGUUGAUAGGCCGGGUGUGUAAGCGCAGCGAUGCGUUGAGCUAACCGGUACUAAUGAACCGUGAGGCUUAACCUU
Molecule: ribosomal RNA, 2906 nt
Filed under: Escherichia coli
Lineage: Bacteria; Pseudomonadati; Pseudomonadota; Gammaproteobacteria; Enterobacterales; Enterobacteriaceae
Description: 23S ribosomal RNA
Rfam family: Bacterial large subunit ribosomal RNA
Source: RNAcentral